AUUGAACGCUGGCGGAAUGCUUUACACAUGCAAGUCGAACGGCAGCACGGACUUCGGUCUGGUGGCGAGUGGCGAACGGGUGAGUAAUGUAUCGGAACGUGCCCAGUCGUGGGGGAUAACGUAGUGAAAAUUACGCUAACACCGCAUACGAUCUAUGGAUGAAAGCGGGGGAUCGCAAGACCUCGCGCGAGUGGAGCGGCCGAUAUCAGAUUAGGUAGUUGGUGGGGUAAAGGCCCACCAAGCCAACGAUCUGUAGCUGGUCUGAGAGGACGACCAGCCACACUGGAACUGAGACACGGUCCAGACUCCUACGGGAGGCAGCAGUGGGGAAUUUUGGACAAUGGGCGAAAGCCUGAUCCAGCCAUUCCGCGUGCAGGAUGAAGGCCCUCGGGUUGUAAACUGCUUUUGUACAGAACGAAAAGGUUUCUACUAAUACUAGGAGCUCAUGACGGUACUGUAAGAAUAAGCACCAGCUAACUACGUGCCAGCCGCCGCAGUAA
Molecule: ribosomal RNA, 500 nt
Filed under: uncultured bacterium
Lineage: Bacteria
Description: partial 16S ribosomal RNA
Rfam family: Bacterial small subunit ribosomal RNA
Source: RNAcentral